CCCUUAGAUGUUCUGGGCCGCACGCGCGCUACACUGAUGCAUUCAACGAGUCUAAAACCUGCUCUGAUAGGGGUGGGUAAUCUUUUGAAUGUGCAUCGUGAUUGGGAUAGAUGAUUGCAAUUUUUCAUCUUCAACGAGGAAUGCCUAGUAAACGCAAGUCAUCAGCUUGCAUUGAUUACGUCCCUGCCCUUUGUACACACCGCCCGUCGCUCCUACCGACUGAAUGAUCCGAUGAAUAUCAUGGAUUGAGGAUGCAAGUAGGUUCGCCUAUCUUUAUCUUCGAGAAGUGAAGUAAAUCUUAUCAUUUAGAGGAAGGAGAAGUCGUAACA
Molecule: ribosomal RNA, 329 nt
Filed under: uncultured eukaryote
Lineage: Eukaryota
Description: partial 18S ribosomal RNA
Rfam family: Eukaryotic small subunit ribosomal RNA
Source: RNAcentral